Long non-coding RNA from Physeter macrocephalus (sperm whale), 1477 nucleotides. RefSeq lists it as uncharacterized. The transcript has 3 exons. The record is from RefSeq and is a predicted model, not a curated record. NCBI's taxonomy places the organism in Eukaryota, Metazoa, Chordata, Mammalia, Artiodactyla, Physeteridae.
GGGCUCAGUGUAUGAGGACCUUUAUUUGGAAUACAGAGUCAAAAGACAAGAGGACUAAGAGUUGCUCAUUUAGAAUUUCAGUUAUUAUUAGUCUCUCAUGAGUAUAAUUCUAAUCUCUCCCACCAGAGGGCAGUUAUCACGUGAAAAUAUGAAACCACUCCUAGUGUUAACAUGAGCCAAGAUAGCUGCUUGGAUUGGUCCUAUUUUGGAGGGAGAAACCUUGCACCAAACACUGAGGGACAGUCAAAAGCAUUCUUCUGUUUCCAAGAUUUUAUAAUGUAUUCCAUUUAAAUACCAUCUGGGUUUCAGUAACCUGUAUUGCCCUAGAAAAUUAGAUUUAUAUGCUUUUUCAUGAGGAUUCCAAAGAGUAGCUGAGAAAAAGGAUUAAAGUUUUUGAUAGACAGCAAAUAACUUCAAGUGUGCAGUCUGCUUAUGAUUUGGAGAGACCACCAGAAACACUUCUAUUUAUUGAUCACGUUGCACAAUGCCUUAUAGUGAAAAUGCUUUAUGGCCAGAAUCAGAUCCAAUCUUCCUAACGUCCCUGGCAGGUAUGUUCUGUUAAUUUUGCCCAUUUUAGAGAUGAGGAAAUUGAAACAUACUCAGGUGAAGCAAUGUGCCAAAGAAUACAUGCUUAGUUUAUAUUCUUAAGCACCAUGAAGCAGUGGAUCUGUUGGAGAUGUGUUGGGCCCAAUUACAGAGACUUAGCACCGAGUUCAGGAGCGAGGUCCACUGGUGCUCAGAAAAUCCAUGUCAGGAAAAGGAGGGUGAGGCAGGGUAAAUAGGAAGCUACCUGGUUGCUCUCGCCGGCUGCACUGCAGGCUCCACUACUAAGUCAAAAAGCAUAGCUGCCUGAGUGAUAGUUACAGACCAUCUUUCCAUGGUAGGUGAGGAUCCCAUGUGCUGUUUUAAACCAGAAUUUAGACAGCCUGGUAUGAGUCUAGCUAGCAGGUGAGGGCAUAGGAACUAGGACCCAUGCCUACAGAACGAACAGGGUGGGUUCUCCAUGGGUCCCCUGGACCCAGACACCGGCUGAGAUUCAGAACAGGAUCCAGGCCUUAAGAGGGCCUGUGGAGCUUGGCAGGGAAGAAAGCAAAGGGAGGAGAAAAUCUUGGCCAGUGUUCAGCUUUACGAAUUGGGCCAACUCCAAGAGCCGGCCGAUUCCAACUCUAAUUUGAAGUCUGGUUGGAGACUCAGGAGGACAGGCAGACUCCCGGUUGUUGGCUGUGCUACAGGCUCUGGGAAGCUCUGGAGGCCAGCAGUCCAAAAUCAAGGAGUCAACGGGAUGAGCUCCAUCUGGAGGCUCCACGGGAGAAUCUUGCCUCUUUCAGUUUAGAGUGGCUGCUGGAAUUCCUUGGUUUGUGGCCCCAUCACUCCAGUCUUCAAGACCAGCAUCUUCAAAUCUCUCUUUGCUCUGUCUUCAUACCGCCUUCUCCUCUGUACUGCUGCUAUCACCUGCUUCUGUCUCAUUACUUCUUCC